GUCCUCCUUAUAAAAAAAUAUGCAAUCAUUUCGGUAUGCAUCUAUCUUCUUAUAUCCAAUGCCUAACUCUUUCAUCAUUUUUUUUGAAGCAUAGAAGCUCUCAACAAGCUUCUCAUCCUUGGAUAGCAUUUUUUUUAUUAUUGCUACUAUCCUAUCAUAACAAUUGACCAUCAUAUUAAAUUCGACAUUCAAAUUUAACAACUCUGACAUAGCUGAUAAUAUAGUGUGUAU
This 231-nucleotide long non-coding RNA is filed under the name Elaeis guineensis (African oil palm). RNAcentral describes it as "long non-coding RNA (EGUI_LNC075555)". Lineage: Eukaryota; Viridiplantae; Streptophyta; Magnoliopsida; Arecales; Arecaceae. The record is from RNAcentral.